AUUUGGCUGGGCCUUUGUCUCUCGCUCCCACCAGAGCUUGGAAUCCGUCUCUGCUCUUCUGCAUUCUCCACCUCCGGAGCCCCUGGGGACUCUGUGACGGCCUCUGUUGCCCUGUGAUCUGCAGGUCCGGAGAGACGCACAGCUAAGAUGUCAGGACAUCCUGGAAGCUGGGAAAGGGUCUUGCCAUCUCUAAGCUGGACCUGGUGACCUUUUUGGAGGGAAAGAAAGAGCCCUGGACUGUGAAGAGUGAGGAGACCAUAGCUGCACAGCCAGUCCAGAUGUAUAAUCUCAUCCCUGAACAUUUCUGAUGGUGUGAUUAUGACAUGUGACUUUAUCUGGCAACAGAGUGAGUUGUUUCUCCCGCCUGAACCCAGCCCCCAGAAAGGAUUGUGACAUAUCGUUGGACCCAGAAUUGAGGUGGAAUUGUGACAUAUAACUUGGCCAAGCACACAGAUGUAAUGGUGUGGUGACUCUCAUACCUAGAACUGGGACCUGUGUGGGAUUGUUAAUUCAUUACUGGACAUUCCUGUGGGUGUGAUUGUUACAUAUGCCUAUGUUCAGCACCCAAGUGAUUUGAUUUUGCUGCCUGGUCUCAGUCCAAAUGUAAGAUUGUGAUUUAUCACUGAAUCCAGCACCUCGGUGAUUUGACUCUCCUCUUUUUUUGUGGGAGGGAUCCUGCAAAUUUUGGGUAUUGUCAAUUAUUGCUGAAUCCUGUACCCAUGUUAUGACUCUCCCAAAUGUGCCUUACCUGUUGUGGCACAAUAUAUCACAUUAGACAUUGUUAAAUAUUGUUGGGUUCAACACCUGGGUGAUGGAUGUAACUUUUUUUCUGGGCCUGCCUACAGGGGACCUUGUGACAUAACUCAAUGCCCAUCACCAUGGUAAUGUUACUCUCUUCUCCUGCCUGAUCUCUGCUCACAGAGAAAUUGUGACACAUCACUGGCCUAGCAUCUAGGUGAUGUGACUCUCCUCUUUUUUUCAGGCUCUGCAUAUUUGGGUAUUGUGACAUAUUGCUGAACUCAACACCUAAGGGAUGGGAGUCUCCUACCUAGGCCCUUCCUACAGGGGACAUUGUGACAUGUCUCUGCAUUCCUCAUCCAGGAGAUGUGACUCUCCUUUUCUGCCUACACCCUGCCUACACAGAAAGUUGUGGCAUAUUGCUGUGGUCAGCAACCAGAUGAUAUAUUUCUCCUGCCUGGGUCUUUAUUACAGGAAAGAUGAUUGACAUAUUACUGGGCCCAGCAUCCAGAUGAUGUGACUCUCUUCUUCUGUUGGUCCUUGCUUACAGGGAAACUGUAGCAUAUUGCUACACCCAACACCUAGCUUAUGUGAUUCUUCUUUUAGGUUUGCCUUCAGGGAACAUUGUGACAUAUUGCUGGGCCCUGCACUGACAAUUUGUGACUCUUCUGCCUGUGAUUUGCCCACUUGGGGCAUUGUGACAUAUUGCUGGGUUUAACACUCCGGUGAUGUAACUUUUAUGCCUAGGCCUUGCUUACAGGAGGCAUUUUGAAAUGUCUUUGUGGCUGGGCAUGGUGGCUCAUGUCUGUAAUCCCAGCGCUUGGGGAGGCCAAGGUGGGCAGAUCACAAAGUCAGGAGUUCGAGACCAGCUUGGUCAACAUGGUGAAAACCUGUCUCUACUAAACAAAACAAAACAAAACAAAAACACAAAAAUCAGCCAGGUGUGGUGAUUGGUGCCUGUAGUUCCAGCUACUCAGGAGGCUGAGGCAGGAUAAUCGCUUAAGUCCAGGAGGUGUAGGUUGCAGUGAGCUGAGAUCGCACCACUGCGCUCCAUCCUGGGCAACAGAGUGAGACUCCAUCUCCAAAAAAU
Molecule: long non-coding RNA, 1828 nt
Filed under: Pan troglodytes (chimpanzee)
Lineage: Eukaryota; Metazoa; Chordata; Mammalia; Primates; Hominidae
Description: lincRNA
Source: RNAcentral